This 1339-nucleotide long non-coding RNA is filed under the name Phasianus colchicus (ring-necked pheasant). RNAcentral describes it as "lncRNA (ENSPCLG00000017489.1)". Lineage: Eukaryota; Metazoa; Chordata; Aves; Galliformes; Phasianidae. The record is from RNAcentral.
CUCUUGCACAUGGGGAGGUGCAUGAGUGUGACCUCUUGUACAAGCAGUGGUGCAGAAAGAUCCCUCCUCUUUGUGCAAGGGUCCGUUGCACAUGGGGAGGUGCAUAAGUGGACGUUCUUGCACAAGGGCUGGUGCACCAGUCUGUUGUGCAAGGUGCACAAACGGACCUCUUCUUGCACCAGGCUGUUGCACGAGAGGUGGUGCGUGGAUCUGUCGCACAAGCAACCUCUUCUUGCACAAGGGGUAGCGCUCAAGUGUGGUGUGCAACAGGACACCUCUUGCACAAGCCUUUCACACAAGGGGGCGCUUCCUGUACAAGCGAUCGUGCACCAGUUUGUUGCACAAGCAGUGGUGCACUAGUGCGACCUGUCGCACCAGGAGCGUGUGGGUGUUGCACUGUUCAGGUGCACAAAGCCCUGUGUUGCACAAUGAGGGUGCACAACACCCAGCAUUGCACUAUUGCCUUGCACAUGACCCCGUGUGGCACUUUGGUGUUGCACAAGGCCCUGUGUGACACAAUACUGUUGCACGAGGCCCUGUGUUGCACAACGAGGCCGCACAAGGCCCAGCCUUGCACCUCUGCCUUGCACAAGGCCUAGUGUUGCACCACAGUAUUGCACAACCUCAUGUGGAAUCCUCGUGUUGCACAAGGCCCCGUGUGGCGCUGUAGUGUUGCACAAGCCCCUGUGUUGCACCGCAACAGUGCACACAACCCGAGGUCUCACCCUCGUGUUGCACAAGGCGCUGUGUGGAGUUUUAGUGUUGCACAAGGCCCUGUGUUGCACCACACCGUUGCACACGACCCUAUGUUCCACUCUUGUGUUGCACAAUGAGGGUGCACAAGACCCACAGUUGCCCCACUGCCUUGCACAAGGCCCCGUGUGGCACUUUAGUGUUGCACAAGGCCCCGUGUCACACGAGGGUUCACAAGACCCAGCACUGCACAAGGGGGCACCUCUUGCACAAGGCGGGUGCAAAACUGUGCAAAGGACACAAAAGGACCUCUUCUUGCACGAGUUUGUUGCACUUGAGGCCAGCUCUUGCACAACCAGUGUUGCACUGUUGCACAAGAGGUGGUGCGUGGCUCUGUUGCACAAGGAACCUCUUCUCGCACAAGGGGUGGCGCACAAGCCUGGUGUGCAGGCACCUCUUGCACAAGCCUUUUGCACAACCACGCGUUUCACCCUUGUGUUGCACAAGGCCCCGUGUGACACGAGGGUCCACAAGACCCAGCACAAGACUGCACCACUGCCUUGCACGAGACCAUUUGUUUCACUUCAGUGUUGCACAAGGCCCCGUGUUGCACAACAAAGGUGAGCACAGCCCACUGUUGCACCAC